GCUCCCGCCCACAACCUUGCGGGGACUCGAUAGCAAAGGGAGGAGAGGGGCGUGGACCCUGCCAGGCGCUCGCCGAUUCCAACCGUGGAAAUGCCGGCUCCGGCCCCCAGGUCUGCCCUGAAGUCUAGCUGCUGCCACAGAAGUCAGAAGUUCUCGUUCACAAGCGGGUGCACUCAUCGGUUCGCUCCGGGGCGUUUCUUGGCUGGAAUCCGGGCAUCGCCAGCGGGCCACCGGGACGCAAAGCCGGCCCAGGCCGCCCGCCUCCAGCCAGGGCCCGGUCGGGGGCCGCGGGCGGCGGGGCGGGAUCCAAGAUCAUCGGCCGCACCCUUCGCAGUCGAACAAGAGACGGCAACUUUUGUACUCUGUGCGACGCCCGGGGCCCCACCCGAACUCCGCGCUGCGGCUUCCCGCCUGGAACAAAGGCAGGCUCCCCACCCUGGUCUGCGUCUGAAUAUCGCAGGCACGCAGGAAUUGAG
Long non-coding RNA from Bos taurus (domestic cattle), 476 nucleotides. Lineage: Eukaryota; Metazoa; Chordata; Mammalia; Artiodactyla; Bovidae. The record is from Ensembl.